GCCAGAGGGAAGAUUUUGCAUAUGAUCUCUCCGCAUCGUCAGAAAAAGUAAAAAGAUCUGGAUCGCUGGCAGAUCAAAGCUGUGUCGUUCAGGGAGUGUUUAAAAACGAGCGCACACGCUUGUCUUUGUGAAGCCAGGCUCCAUUCACAGAGCUCAUACUUCCUCAUCCCGAGCCACAACUUCCAAUUGCAUCAGUGCUCUCUGUUUAAAGGAGUUUGUUAGCAUCUAUUUCUGAGCAGAACCAGCUAGUCCAAAGACAUUUCUGCACUUGAGGCAGACUUUGCCUUAUUUAUUAAUAUGGGCUGCCACAACCUACAUGCUCACAAAAUAAAACUAAAAGAAAAUAAUAAAUAAAAUAAAAUCCAUGUACCACAUACCCACUAGCAGGGAAUGAAUGAAAGGGGAAAACAGUGCAGCAAAUAAAAAAGUAAUAAAAAUUGGAUUCAAGGAGACACAGGAACAUUUAUUAUUUGAGGACUGUUUCAAAGCUUUGUGAUUUAUCUGUUUUGCUGCUAUGCUGAAGGCAACUGCUAUGAGAGGCAAUCCCAAAGUUUGGCAUAAUCAACCCUUUGUUAGUAGAUCAGACUGAAAAUAACAAAGCAUUCACAGAUCAGUUCUGUUUACUGAAAGGAACAGAGUGCAAAUGUAUUCAAAAAUAUACACAGAAAGGAGCAAGGCAGAUAGCAAAUGAAUCUGAAACAAACCACUUUCCAGCCAGGCACAGGAGAGCGACUCCCUGUGAGUGACAACACUACGAGGAGACAAACGCCGCUUGUUUCCAACUGCCCGCACUUCCGCCUCCUCCCCUUUCAUUCAAUACUUGGUGCUAGUGAUGCUCCCUCACCUCCAUGACAUGCUGGCUGCAAAGACUUUUAUCUCAAUGAGGAGAGCAGGCUGGAGAAACCCUAUGAUCACACGCUCUUGUUUCAGGCUGCAGUGUCAGUAUUGGAGCACUUGAUUCCAAAAGCAAAAAUCAUCUACACACUGAAAAUACAAGCCCUGCCAGGUGGUCCUGUCACCCACCCCUUUCACAGAUUAAUCUGCAGCAAGAUCAACUCCAGGAGCAGGCACCUGGUUGCAUGAGUGCUAUUGCUAGUGAAGAAAAUAGUGCACAUGUGUAUGCACGUACAUAUGUGUGUAUAAGGGAAAGGCAGGAACAGAGAAUAGAGACUGCAGGGACAGGACAGUGACUGUUUAGAUUUGCUUAAAAUGCCAUGAAUCCUUAAAACAACCACAAGAGUUUUUAAUCAAGAAAUAAGCAAAGCUCAAAGCUCACAUCCCAAGUGAAGAGCAUAAAUAGAGCAGAGAAUUAAUUUACCAAAAGCAACAAACCAUGGAAAGAACAAAAAAUUGAUAGCAAAUAUAAUGUAGAAUAGGAGGGAACCUAAACACAGGGUAGCACUCAUGGCAAUUGUGGAGCGAACUAUGGUAAUGGAAAGUGUUCUGAGUAAAGGGUCAUCUGAGCUACAGGUGAUAGGGGAGCAAGAGUUCCCCAUAAAGGAGUAGCACAAUAAUUCAAUAGAUGACACUCUGCAUGUAAGAGAAGAGCAUGCAGUGCAAACCAGAAACAAAUUUUAAUGGUCAGAUUUGGACCAAGACAUAACCUUAGCAAAUAGAAAUAUGAAAUAGACACUAAGGCUUUAGCUAAUAAGAUGUAAUAACUACAAAUACUUUCCCAGCAUCAUGCAAAUGAAGGAAGCAAAGUCAUCCAACCAACAUAAAUGUUGGUAUGAUUGUUAAACCAGUGGGACAGUAAAUUACAAAGAAAAAAGUUAUACUGGUCUAAAUGUCAGUUAUUCUUAGCUCUAGUAGACUGUUAUCAGCCAACACUGCUGGAUAACAUUGGUGUUUUCUUGUCCACUUUCAAAAAGAACACCCCGUUUUACUAUUAAGCUUAUAGUGGGAUCACAUCAACAUGACCAAGAUGGUGAUCUGCCUUGCAAGACUCAGCAUCACAGAAAAUAAAAUGCUGGUAUAUAGAUUUAAGAGAACAAGAAACCAUAACACAAUCAUAGUUAAAAUUACCAAGAAACAGAAAAAUAUUAUAAUUGUAAAAUAAAAUGAAGUGGCAAUAUAAUAGGUUUUUGAUCUGCCAUGAAAUACUUGGAGUACAGUGCAGGGACUCCUGACCAGAGGCUGAACAGGCUGCUGUGGCUAUGCGGUCCAACACAGUACAUGGCAGAUACACUAAACAAAGCUCUGAAAGCUUGACAUCUGCAUUUACACAACGCUGCAACCAGUUUGUUCUGCAAACAGAAGAGAACUAUGAGAAGAAAGACGCUAUCAACCUUUUAUUUUUUGAAGGAAAAUAUCUUGAAGUUUGAAAUACAGACAAGACAACCACAUAACAGAAAUACUCCUAAGUGCAGGUUAUGACAAGCCAGAAGGGCUUCUUUCUUCACCUUGGACUGGCAAAUUUCACAUCAGAUAUUCCAAUAUGGACAUUGCAACCCAGAAGUGGAGCAGAAUCCAAAAGAGUCGAGCUUAUUUAAGUAUCUACAACAAAGUUGGAAACAGAUGAUGUUGUCCACUAGAUUACUCAGACUUAUUAGAGCUAAACCAUGGAAAAAUGGAUGCACUUCAAUGAAUAAGCCUUCAGCGGUCAGUCAUGCUUCAAAUUGGAUCCUUCAGUUUCUGAAGGACGACUGCCUUUUCUGCAGAGUUGGGGGACACAAAACAUGGUGAUACUAUUGCCUGCGACCGGCCAAACAUGAUGCAAGAUAAGACAGAAGGAGGAAGGUUUUUUGGAAGAAUACUGUUUCUGUUUCGCCCCAUUGCUGUCUCUCACACACCCUGCUGAGUGAAACUUGUGAUCAGUUGAAGAUUCUUGUCCUCUUAAGAAACAGACUGAAGACGGUGCACCUUAUUCUGUGCAUACAGACCCCCAGCUGCAGUGCAUACGAGGCUGAUCCACCUUGUCCAGUAGCUACGGCCCCAACUGAAAUUCAAGAGAAGGCCAAACUCAAGAGAAUGCAAAUGUCUUUCUAAACAUUAGUCACAUCAAACAACUUAAAUAAAGGAUAUUAACUGAUGCACUUGAAAAUGAAAUGUGAUAAAAUUAUGCUUUCUUCAGCUGCUGUACAGGGAAAAUAACUGAUAAACUAAAGAUGAGUAAAUUUAAGAUGGAUCAGGUAAAAAUUUCUUCCAACUGUAGUUAAAGGAACUGAACACAAAAUAUCUGCAGAGCCAUUUUUGGGGUUGGGUUGGGUUGGGUUGGGUUUUUUUGGUAUGUGUGGGCGUUUUUUGUUUUGUUUUGCUUUGUUUGUUGAUUGUUUUUUUAAAGUGCAAUAAUUAGACCUGUUGUAGCUGUAUCAAUGUGUGUGUUUCAAGGAUACCGCAAUCUCAUCUUCCAGGGAAGGACGUUACAGCUUGCAAAAGAAAUCAGCAAGGAAUCUACUCCUCUUUCGUGAACAUAUAUCCCUUCUCUCUGAGUGACUUAGAUGGGCAUAUUUGUAGAAAGGUAGUCCUUCAUUCUCUGAAUAACCAGAUUAUAAAACAGUAGGUAUUGCUGAGGGCGAGAAAUCAGACUUGAUGGUCUGAUGCAAUAUGGCAUUUCCUGCAGCUCAACUAGUAGUUCAUUUCCAUACAAAGUCCUUUAAAUAGCUAGGUAAAAAUUCCACUCUCCCUUGGCUAUUUCUGUCAACAGAAUUUGCAUUGCAUGCAAUAUUUACUGCAUCCUUCAGGAAUUGUGUUUGACUUGUCUCACACUGGCAUCUGUACAGGUUCAGGUGCAUGUAAAUUCCCCGAGAGGUUAUGAAGGAGCCCAAGGGCACAGGAGCUCCAAGAGGCAGCCAAGGGACUAAGCAUCAAAAUGGCUUGUUGGGAUUGUGCUGAGACUGAGAUAUUAUGAGAUAGCUGUGUGAAAAUACCUGUUCAAGGCAAGAAUUAAGACACAGCAGACAUUCCAUAUUAAAGAACAGUCUGGCAUGCUGGCAGCUAAUUGAUUGUUAACGUUUAGUAUGUUUGUAGAAAGGAGCAUAAGGAAACAAUUAAGCCUCCAUACUGCUUAUAAGCUGUAGAACUGAUUUUUUAAAAUCUUCUCUUAUUUGAGAGAAAAUAAAAGCAGCUUCCAGCCUGCUGUUAAAGUUUAUGCACCUAAAGCAGGCAAUCUAGUUUUCUUCUGACGAUAUUUAAUUUACAUCACAUUUAAUACCAAAAUGUGCAUUCUCCCUCUGCUUUUAUCAUCAAUUAUCUCCUCUUUAAUGAAACUGCAUGUUUCAGAGACAGAAAACAAUCCUACUCUUUUUAAAAAGUGAACAGAACAGCAGCUGUUUAUUUUGGAGUGUUCAAUGACAUCAGAUCAAGUUCUCUUCCCUCCAAAAUAAGAGUUGAGUUUUAAUGUCUGUUCCCUGAGCAGCAUUUUCUUGUUAGGCAACAUUUUUCCCCUCAGUUGUUAGAAAAUAGGUAAAAAAGAAAAAACCAUAGCUUUCCUUUCACUAGAGAGCAUAGUGAUUUGGGGUUUUAGCACAACUUAGUUCUCUUUGAAAUAUAGACAUGUCUCUGAUUGGAAUUCCAAAAUAAACAAAGAAGCCUCAGCCAAACCCUAGAGAAAGGAAGAAAAAGGAGAUCUAAAGCAGUUAUCUCUGCUGUCAGCAUGCUGAGCAAAGAAUUCUCCCUUGAUUUCCAGCAAAUAUUUCAGCGAGAGCAAGAUGAGGUCUUUAUUAACUGAGAGGUGAAGACAAAUAACGUUCCACUGACUGUGCUCUGUAAGCGAAAUGAAAAGGCUCUAUACUUGGAAAAGCAAACUAGAUCCUUCUGAAGAACAGGGAACAUUGCAGAAUCUAAACUCAUUUCCUUUACAAUGUCCUCUCCCCCAUUUAGGCUCUAUACUAGUUGUUACCUCUUCCCUUUUGAUAAGUUUUAUCAAGUUUUUUUGUGUCUUUUUCCCCUUGUUUGGGCUGAAAUCUAUUAAUACAUAACCAGCCUGUGGACAUAUCAUCGUCAUAUAAUGUGUUCUGUAUACCUCCAUGUAGCACCUAUCUUUUGCCCCUUCUUAAAUGCCCUGGAAAUAGUUUUCCCCCCAUUCCCUUCAAACAAAGCUUCAAACAAAACACACUUCAUGAAUGCAAAAAGAUAUAUACUGAAGCACGUUGGUAGGUUUUCUUCUGUUCCAAAAAGUUGUCCAGACUGUAGCCUGGCCAGCAUGUGCAAUGUAUCUGCCCCCAGCCGUGACUUUCUUGGGGAGUACCUGAUCAGCACCUCAUUGGACUGGUGUGCAUCUAACAGGGUUGAAGUCAUUAGGCUGCCUGCAGCACGAGCUUCACCAUAAUGCUUCCUAGUGGCUUCUGAACAGACUGCAUAGCCACCUGAUGCCCCAGUGUGAGCUGACAAACUCAUUCUGCAGCAGAGAACACAGCCAGCAGCUCCUUUCUAAUUUGAGCUUAUCUCCCUUCUGUGCCCACUGCAAGCUCUACUGAACUGGCCUCAGUGCUGCCCUUGGCCCUCCUUCCUGGGCACUGUUACCUCUGUUGUACUUCUAACUAUGCUGAAGGAUGGUACCAGUCCUGUGAGUUCCCCUGUUCUUUCAGAUGUUUUUUUUGACCGUACUAGAUCUCUUAACUAUCACAAAAGCCCAUAGGUGUAUCAAAUCUGGAAAUGUACUUGGUAACUAUCCCAAAUCUAUUUCCUCUACAUGCCCUGAGCUGGACAUAUUCCUAAUGAUUCAGUUUCUCUGGUACUAGACAGUGUCCUUCAGAUGUCACAUGCUCUCUUCAUCUUCAGUUUCUGACAUAGCUUUCACUUUAGUUUGAUAUCCUGCUCCCAGCACCCUAUCUGGGAUUGUUACAAUUUGGUACAGUGCUGAAUUCUCUCCUCUUUGAGUCUUCCUGCAGGAAAAGCAAUAUCAAAUGCUGUCUUCGUGCCCAAGGUUCCCUCUAGCUCUAAUUUCUGUUGACAGCGAAACGCCUCUUGAGUCACACUGAUGGCCAGAAAUGUUUUUGUUGUUUGGGUUUUUGUUUGCUUGGGAUUUUAUGUUUGUUUUUAAAAAAAAAGAAUCUCCUGAAACCCAUGGAAAAGGUCACCAAGGGGCUAAUACCUCUUUUUCAUAUGAGUGUCCUAAUGCCAAAACUUAGCACUGUAAGAUGAUCUAUACCUCACAGAAGUACUGAACAAGCAUUACACUUAUGACUUUUUGCCUGAUGGUUCUGAUGUGUUAUAUUUUAUGAAGGCUCUGGAUGACUCUGCCAGGACAAGUGUCAAGAUCUGAUUAUCAUUUCUUUUGGCAAUAUUUGUAUUAAAAUACAUAGGUCAUCAGACACAAUAUUUUUGACCUUGUGCUUUUUUUGAGAUCUGAGAGUGCACAAGACAAUCUGUCAAAAGUAAUAUUUCAUCUCUAACAUGAACUUAGAAUUGUUUGUACACUGAGUAAUUUUUACCCCUUAUUUUGAAAACAACGGGAAGACAUUUAAUAUUUGUCCAAAAGUUUAGCUGACAGCAAUAAUUACGGCUAAUGAAGACAAAGGGACAAUAUUUUGUGAAAGUUUGUCAUUCUGACCUGACUGAAUCAUCUGAUGUCUUCUAUUUUCAGUGUGGACUUUAUGUUAAAAUAGCCAUAGCUUACUACUGUCACAAGUAAAAUGGUUAAGGUUACUGUAAGGUCUUUUUCAUCUGGAGAGAAGACUUGUAAGAACCAAACUAUUUCAAAACUUCUUUCUUUAUUAUUAAAUUCAUUCUGAUAACAUCCCUCUCCCUAAUGCAUUAUGCAUUGAAAUUCUGGCGAUUUUAUACUAGCUCAUUGCUCAAGAUUCAAGAUAUAUUUUUAAAGUUUACUUUGUACUGCAAAGUGUCAGUUGAAAGUACCUAAUCUUAUUAUGGUCAAAUAUUUUAUUAUGAGGUGCCCCAAUAAUCCAACAUAAACAGGAAGGUAACUUACCUGGAAUGUUUUCACAGAACAACUUGAAGACCAAGCUGAUCAUUAUGUAUGACUCCCAAGAUAAAUGACAAAUUUUAAAAGCUAUUUUUAAACCAAGUUAUUCUUAUAUUAAUGCACGUAAGUGUCUUCCAUUUAAUGUAAUAAAUCAAAUCUAAGUCUGUCCAACUUUUACCUGGAGAUGUUAUCUGUAUUGCCUUGCUUUUGUGAAUCAUUAGCUACUGGAAUAAUCUUAAGAAGCCUUACUUAUGUCUUUAUUUUAAUAACUAACAUCAACUGCAACACACAUUAUAUCCCCUCUAAGCUGAUAUUUGAUUAUAAGGAAUGACAGACCUUUCAAUAAGCAAAGUAGCCUCCAGAAUCUUUGAAGAUCUGGACUAACUUCCAACUCCCAACUGAAAGUCUGGGCAAAUCCCCCAGGGAGUUAUUAAUAAUUUGGAAAAAGAAAAUAAAAAUAAAAUUAUGUACCUGCAGAAAAUUGAUAUAGCCUAGUGACUUGAGAGGAGUAGAUGGAAGGUGCGGUCCAUAUACAUAUUCACCUACUAUAGCUCUACAGUCUUGCAAAAAGAUAGCAAUAAACAAAACAAUUUAGUAAAAAUGUGCUACAGUUACACUUGGAACGUUACAGGUUAAAUCAUUAGCAUGUGGUGCAAUUUAAGAUGCUCUUGGUGCCUACCUGGCCUCCAGCUGCCAUCCCAGAAGGCCUCUCAUAGGUUGUGUCACAUCUGACAGGCUCCUGUAUCAACACCACAGCAGACUAAAAAACAUAAUAAUAAAAAUCAGAUAGUGCAGUAUUCAAUAAUUCUAAGUAAAGAAGUUUACUCCUAAACUUGUUAUCAACUAACUUUGCUUGUAUAACCAGAUUUCAUAAAUUAUAUACUAGUCAGUAGCUUAGCUAAAAAAAUUCCAUUCAACAUCCUCAUGAUCUGUAAUAGAAACAAGCAUAAAAUAAUCACACGGGAAAUAGCAAUAUAGAGAUUUUACACAUCAAAAUGCAAUCUCCAGUAAUUCAAGACUGUUCUCAUGCUAGUAAUAGAACCGCUUAGAUUUAGCGGCAGAAGACAAUUGCAUGUCGCAGAGUGCCAUAAUACAAAAUGAGGAACUUUUAAUAUCUGCGAGAAAAAAAACUACAUUAUUAGCAUUCAUAGCCUAGCCCGUAAUGUACUGUAUUUCCGUGACUUAAGAGCACUAUUUGUUUGAUCUAUUCAAAGCAAUUCUGGAUAGGAAGAUCUAAUUCAUGGACACAACCUUAUUACAGCAUCUGACACCAACAGGACUAUUGCUGAUUUUCCUGCUCACCACAGGACGACUGGGUACAAACUGUAAGGACAUGUUCAUGUUUAAUUAUUACGAAAAUGUCACGUAAAGAAUGAGAAGGGAGUUAAAUCACUGUCCAAAGAUUUAAGUAAGGUUUUAAUAACAUGCUGCAUGUGAAUUAUGCUUCCAAUAACACAUAAAUGUAUCAUGAAGCUUUAGCUGGUACAAAGCAGUUUCUCAUGGCUUAAUGCAUUUGGGAAGAGAAUGGCUGUACUUUGUGGUAACAGAAAUGCCAAUUACAAAUCAAACUCAUAGUUUAAUUCACUUAAUUACAGCUGCAGUUAAGACAAAAGCCCUGUUUAAAUACUUUCUCUUCAGUUUGUGAAAGUGGAGGGACAAUAUUCAUGUCCUUACGUUUACAGGGGAACAGAAAGGGAACUGCAGCUGUUUGCUCCCAGUGUACCUGUGGUUAAGCUGGACUGCAGCCGCACUGCGGCCCCUCCUGCCUUCACCUCAGGGAACGGCGGAUCCUUCCUCACCCGCCAUGUUUCUACCCGCCACAGCACCUCCAUCUUUGUUACCUCUGUACCCAGAGCACCCACCCGUGCAAACGUGAGGAACGCCUACAGCAGAAAGGCAAUUUUGAAGGAGCUAACACGCUUGAUUCUUGGUGUAUGCGGUGCCUCUGCCCAGGUGUUGGCGGGAAUCUCCGCGAGGAGGCGCCAGGGCUGCGCGGCGCCUGAGGCGGCUGGUUCCAACUGGUUCUGGCCGAGCCCACUGCAGGGCGCCGCUGAGCUCACCGCCGGCGCUGCCCAUGCCGCUGUGGAAAACACCGCACAGCUGCGAGGAGCGAGGAUAAAAAGGUGCGAGAAAUGAGCCCCAUGAGCAGCCAGGGAGGAGGAAGAGCAGGAGCUCUGGCUGCCGAUGCAGACACUCCGCUGCAGCCCCCGGUGGAGCAGAUUUCUUCCCGCAGGACAGCAGCUGUGGAGAGGAUCUGCGCUGUGGCGGGGGGCAGCACGAGCUCUGGGUCGAAUAAGCUGAGAACGGCACAUGUAGUUGCUUGUAUACUCAACUUGCCAUGUGAAUUGUCCUUGGGAAAGUGGAACAUGCCUCAGCGGGUGAAAGCAACAGCACCACCAGACAUUUCAGAGAUGCCUUGUGGUGGCCUCAUGUAAGAAGCUGCUUGAUCUUCAGAUUCUUCUUCACUUUACUUACUAAUGGAGAGAGGAGGAGCAGCUCUGCUCUUCCAAGGAGAGCCAGUGCAAUAAAAAUAAACUAACAGCUCCUGUGUUGGUGGAAUUGGUUCUAGCUACAGGCUAAUUAAUACCCCUCUGCAAGCAAAAUUGACAUUUUAAGGAGUAUUUGGAAGAAGGGAUUUUGAUAAUAUUAUAAGAUUUAUUUAUCUCUAAGGGGAGACUCUAUUCACCAUGUUCCAGUGUUAAAAGGGUGACUACAAAGACGACUGAGACUCCCUUUUUGCAAGGAGUCACAUGGAAAAGAUGAGGGGUAAUGGGCACAAGUUGCUUCUGGGGAGAUUGAUUGGACAAAAGGGGGAAAUAUUUCUUCAUGAAAACAAUCAGCCAUUGGAAUUAUCUCCCGAGAGAAGUGAUGGUUUCCCAGACAUUGGACACUUUUAAGAUUCAGGUGGACAGGGUGGUGGGCCAUCUUGCCCAGACUGUGCUUUUGCCAAGGAAGACUGGACCAGAUGAUCCUUGUGGUCCCUUCCAGCCUGGUAUUCUAUGAUUCUACAAUAUAUAUGUAAGCAUGAUUCUGUUAAAAAGGCCUCAUCACAAGCCUAGCUGCAGGAGAACCGUAACAGAGCCUGGCAGCUUGGAUUUGUCCUGACUGCUUCUUUUGGGAUUUAAAUAGCAAUCUUUUAGUCUCAGCCCCAUCCCUGCAUCUGCUUUAGCUGGAAGUGAGCAAGAACAUCCAGAUUUUACACAAGCAGACUGCUUUUGGCCUCAGGACAGCUGCCAAGCCUUCAAAAGCCAUUGCUAUUCAGAUCCCACUACUCUACCUCUGAGAAAGCAACCAUAAUAUUGCAUGUAAACGUAAUACUACCAUGAAGUAUUUGUCAACCUUUGCAGGUUUACGUUUUGUUCAGUGUUUUAUCUCAAACCUCAAAUUAGCACAAAAACACCUCCAUACAAUGGGAAAGAUUUCAGUCCCUAAACCCAUGAAAGCUGAAGUGAGUUACUUUACAAGAUCACAAUUAAAAGUUUAUUUGCAUUGUACACAGUCAACCCGCUUACACUCUAAAUUAUCUUGUUAUUACAGUGGUACAGGAACUUUUAAAGAGAUGUUAAAGGAUUUGAACCUGCAUUAUCUCAUUAUUCUUACGCAAUCCGUCAAGAAAUCAGUGUAUUGUGUAUGACUAGAA
Columba livia (rock pigeon) is the source of this 10505-nucleotide long non-coding RNA. RefSeq lists it as uncharacterized. The transcript has 6 exons. Lineage: Eukaryota; Metazoa; Chordata; Aves; Columbiformes; Columbidae. The record is from RefSeq and is a predicted model, not a curated record.